UUGAGCUUCUUCUUCACUCUACUGAACACUAUAAAAAGUCUGCUCCAAUUAUUCACACAAAUCAGCCACAAAUUUCGUAUUGAAUUUCAAUUUCAAUUUCGCCAAAAACCACCACCACCACCACCGGCAGUAACUGCCGCCACCAGAAACCACCAUCAAACACCACCCCAUAUUCACUCGACCACCGCAAUCACCACCGCACAUCCAUCAUACCUCCCUGCUCCCUCCCCCCCUCCGUCGUGAACUCCCCUGCCCCUCCCCUGCCUUGCUCCUUCGCAUCUACCGCACCACCCACGCCACACAACGACCACACUCCGGCCACCGCAUCACCUUAUAAACCUACCUCCACCUCAAAAUCCCCGGCGAUAGGCUGCUGCGCUGCCCCAGGUUCGACCAGAAAUACCCCUCCCGUGCUUUUUCCUCUGUUUCGUUCGACCACCCCCUUCCUUUUUCCUUGCAGUUCCGCCGCCGCAAAACCACAUCACUGCCGCCUCCUCUCCGGCCUGGUUCCGCGCCUUUGCGCUGCCCAGACCUCCGGUCACCAUCACCCCUCUCCUUCCCUUCCCUUCCCUUCCCCUGUUCCUUCGUGCCUCCUUUGUCGUGCUUCCUUUUUCCCAGGAAACAAGUUCCAUUUGGAACUUUGUUUGUUUUUGUUUUCUUUAAUCCUUAAGUAGAGGCCCAAAUUCCCUUGGCCCAAAUUCCCAAAGUGAGUUUGUUAUCUUGCCCAUUUAUUUAUCAAUCUAAAUGUUUUAUGAAAAUGAAUAGUUACUUAAACAUUUUAAAAAAAUAAUUAUAAUAAUGAUUUAAUAUAUAAUUUGACAAAUUCUUGGAAAUAAACAAUAUUUCAUUAAUUUCGAAAUUAUAAAAUAUAUAUUCAUUAUGUUAAAGUUGUUGAUUUUAAAUUAUUUAUCAUUUAGUAUUAAUUUAACAAUUUAAUAUUGUGAAAGAAAUCAAACUCGGAGCUCGGGAAGAACGGUCCAUCGAACAGGAAGUAUAAACUACGGUUGAGGUACAAAGAAGAUCAUGGGAUGCCUUAGGGUGAGGAUGCAACCAUCACAUUCACGAUCGACGUUUAGUAAAGAUAAUUAUGUGUCACUAGUAAUAAUGGAUAAAUUAAUUAAACUCUAAGUUUAAUUUCAAGUAUUGAGUUAGAUUUUAAUUUUAAUGUUUAAUCAAUGUUAGGAAUAUUUGUUAAGGUUUAUUUAGAUUUCAUUGUAAAUAUUAAAGAGUUAAUCGAAGUUAAGUCUAUUUACUGUUA
Spinacia oleracea (spinach) is the source of this 1258-nucleotide long non-coding RNA. RefSeq lists it as uncharacterized. Lineage: Eukaryota; Viridiplantae; Streptophyta; Magnoliopsida; Caryophyllales; Amaranthaceae. The transcript is spliced from 2 exons. The record is from RefSeq and is a predicted model, not a curated record.